UUUGUCAUCAGUAACAACAUAUAAAAAUUUCAAAAGCUUUGGUUGAAUGUUUCAUGAGAAAAUGCACGGACACGACUGGAAACGCCAUUUUUCAAUCUUUCAAGAACCAUAACUCCUGAACGGUAAAAGUCAAAAUCGCCAUUAUUGAACUUGACCUUCAUUUAGUUGUCAGUAACAACAUAUUAAAAUUUUGGAAGCUUUGGUAGAACAGUUCAUGCGUAAAUGCACGGACACGACUGGAAACUCCAUUUUUCAAUCUUUCAAGAACCAUAACUCCUGAACGGUAAAAG
RNAcentral lists this long non-coding RNA (290 nucleotides) under Mytilus galloprovincialis (Mediterranean mussel). Lineage: Eukaryota; Metazoa; Mollusca; Bivalvia; Mytilida; Mytilidae. The record is from RNAcentral.